This 391-nucleotide unclassified non-coding RNA is filed under the name soil metagenome. RNAcentral's name for it is "partial contains 5.8S ribosomal RNA, internal transcribed spacer 2, and large subunit ribosomal RNA". The stretch from base 1 to 122 matches the Rfam family "5.8S ribosomal RNA", at positions 35 to 154 of the family's 154-position model. The record is from RNAcentral.
GAUGAAGAACGUAGUGAAAUGCGAUACUUGGUGUGAAUUGCAGAAUCCCGUGAACCAUCGAGUCUUUGAACGCAAGUUGCGCCCGAAGCCAUUAGGCCGAGGGCACGUCUGCCUGGGCGUCACACGUCGUUGCCCCCCCCAACCCCCUCGGGAGUUGGAUGGGACGGAUGAUGGCCUCCCGUGUGCUCAGUCACGCGGUUGGCAUAAAUACCAAGUCCUCGGCGACCAACGCCACGACAAUCGGUGGUUGUCAAACCUCGGUUUCCUGUCGUGCGCGCGUGUUGAUCGAGUGCUUUCUUAAACAAUGCGUGUCGAUCCGUCGAUGCUUUCAACGCGGCCCCAGGUCAGGCGGGGUUACCCGCUGAAUUUAAGCAUAUCAAUAAGCGGAGGA